AUUGGCCACUCCAAGCCCCGCCCCCUGCUCCAGCCUCUCCCAUUGGCUGCUGUGAGCCCCGCCCUCAUCUUGGAGCUUUCUCAUUGGCUGGUGCAGGCCCCACCUCCCUGUUUCAGGCUCUCCCAUUGGCUGCUCAGAGUCCCACCCCCAUUCACCCUCUCCCCUUGGUCGCUUUAAGCCCCGCCCCUCUCCUUUCCCCAUUGGCCGCUCUAAGCCCCGCCCCCAAUUUCGGCCACCGCUAUUGGCUGAAGGAAGGAGCAAGCCCCGCCCCCUCCCUCCCCAUUGGCCCGUUCCGGCCCCGCCCUCACCUCUCUGCGGCUCAGGGCUCUCCCAUUGGCUGGGUGAAGCUGAGGGCGUCGCCCAGGGCUCCCCAUUGGCUGCGGCGGCUCUGGAAGAGCCCCACCCACAGCCCCAGGCCCAGCCCCCAGAGCGCCGCGCCCAGCGCCGAGCGCAGCACGUCUGGGGAGAGCCAAAAACAGCCAAAAUUACCCCAAAAUCACCCCAAAAUCACCCCAAAACUCAACCCCAAAACCAGCCCGGCCCAGCCCCCAGAGCGCCGCGCCCAGCGCCGAGCGCAGCACGUCUGGGGAGAGCCAAAAACAGCCAAAAUUACCCCAAAAUCACCCCAAAAUCACCCCAAAACUCAACCCCAAAACCAGCCCGGCCCAGCCCCCAGAGCGCCGCGCCCAGCGCCGAGCGCAGCACGUCUGGAGAGAGCCAAAAACGGCCAAAAUUACCCCAAAAUUACCCUAAAAUCAUCCCAAAAUUCAACCCCAAAACCAGCCCGGCCCAGCCCCCAGAGCGCCGCGCCCAGCGCCGAGCGCAGCACGUCUGCAAAGGCACAAAAUCACCCCAAAAUCAGCCCCAAAAUCACCCCAAAAUCACCCCAAAAUCAUCCCAAAACCAGCCCCAAAAUCAGCCCAAAAUUACCCCAAAAUCACCCCAAAAUUCAACCCCAAAAUCAUCCCAAAAUUACCCCAAAAUCACCCCAAAAUCAUCCCAAAAUCAUCCCAAAAUCACCCCAAAAUUCAACCCCAAAACCAGCCCGGCCCAGCCCCCAGAGCGCCGCGCCCAGCGCCGAGCGCAGCACGUCUGCAAAGGCACAAAAUUACCCCAAAAUCAGCCCAAAAUUACCCCAAAAUCACCCCAAAAUCACCCCAAAAUCACCCCAAAAUCAGCCCAAAAUCAGCCCCAAAAUCACCCCAAAAUCACCCCAAAAUCAUCCCAAAAUCACCCCAAAAUCAUCCCAAAACUCAACCCCAAAACCAGCCCUGCCCAGCCCCCAGAGCGCCGCGCCCAGCGCCGAGCGCAGCACGUCUGGAGAGGGGAAAAACGGACAAAAUUACCCCAAAAUCAUCCCAAAAUCAGCCCCAAAAUCAGCAAAAAUUACCCCCAAGUCACCCCCAAAUUAACCCCAAAAUCAGCCAAAAUUACCCCCAAAUCACCCCAAAAUCACCCCAAAAUCAGCCCCAAAAUUACCCCAAAAGCACCCCAAAAUUACCCCAAAAUCACCCCAAAAUCACCCCAAAAUCAGCCCCAAAAUUACCCCAAAAUCAGCCCCAAAACCAGCCCCCAAAUCACCCCAAAAUUAUCCCAAAAUCACCCCAAAAUUACCCCAAAAUCAACUCAAAAUCAGCCCCAAAAUCAGCCCAAAAUCAGCCCAAAAAUCACCCUGAAAUCACCCCAAAAUCAGCCCCAAAAUCAGCCCCAAAAUCAACUCAAAAUCAGCCCAAAAAUCACCCUGAAAUCAGCCCAAAACAGCCCCAAAAAUCAGCCCAAAUCAGCCAAAAUUACCCCCCAAAUGAGUCAAAAUUACCCAGAAUUACCCCAAAAUCAUCCAAAAUCACCCCAAA
Long non-coding RNA from Chloebia gouldiae (Gouldian finch), 1853 nucleotides. Lineage: Eukaryota; Metazoa; Chordata; Aves; Passeriformes; Passeridae. The record is from Ensembl.